RNAcentral lists this ribosomal RNA (492 nucleotides) under uncultured bacterium. Its description in RNAcentral is "partial 16S ribosomal RNA". It matches the Rfam family "Bacterial small subunit ribosomal RNA", at positions 29 to 507 of the family's 1533-position model. The record is from RNAcentral.
AGUGAACGCUGGCGGUAGGCCUAACACAUGCAAGUCGAACGGCAGCACAGUAAGAGCUUGCUCUUACGGGUGGCGAGUGGCAGACGGGUGAGGAAUACAUCGGAAUCUACUUUUUCGUGGGGGAUAACGUAGGGAAACUUACGCUAAUACCGCAUACGACCUACGGGUGAAAGCAGGGGAUCUUCGGACCUUGCGCGAUUGAUUGAGCCGAUGUCGGAUUAGCUAGUUGGCGGGGUAAAGGCCCACCAAGGCGACGAUCCGUAGCUGGUCUGAGAGGAUGAUCAGCCACACUGGAACUGAGACACGGUCCAGACUCCUACGGGAGGCAGCAGUGGGGAAUAUUGGACAAUGGGCGCAAGCCUGAUCCAGCCAUACCGCGUGGGUGAAGAAGGCCUUCGGGUUGUAAAGCCCUUUUGUUGGGAAAGAAAAGCAGCAGGUUAAUACCCCGCUGUUCUGACGGUACCCAAAGAAUAAGCACCGGCUAACUUCGUG